Molecule: long non-coding RNA, 715 nt
Filed under: Gossypium barbadense (sea-island cotton)
Lineage: Eukaryota; Viridiplantae; Streptophyta; Magnoliopsida; Malvales; Malvaceae
Description: long non-coding RNA (GBAR_LNC006335)
Source: RNAcentral
AGCAGCUAUUACUGAAAAUAGCGGUGUGAAGCGGGGCCACACCAAUAGUGGUGGAUCGCGGCUGCAAUUUAACAGAUAACGGCGGCAAUAACGAAUUACUAUUCCCGUUAUUUUUUAUUACAGUAAAAUUAAAAAAAAACCCUACUUCUUUUAAAAAAAAAAAAUCAAUAGAGAUAAAAGAGAAUAUAUUCCUCACCUGUAAAAUCAGAUAGUUUUCAAUAAAAAAAGUAAAAGAAGUCCAAAUACAACAGAAAAAAAGCAAUCAAAAGCAAUGGAAAAAUAUGAAAUUCUCAUAUUUCAGUUUAGACUUUAGACUCUAAACUCCAAAUGAAACAAAAUCACAACACAACAAAGCUACCGUUGAACCCGAGAAACAAACCCUGAUCACUUGCACAUUCGGAGAUUCAUAAUUUCAAGUAAGUAAAGUACCUGAAAUUUUGUAUCUUGAUUCUUGCUUGUUUUUACUGUAAAAUGCAAAUAUUGUUGUAACUUGUAUCAUGCCCGAAAAGCAGUUGAUAGAUUAGUGAAUAGAUAACAAACAAGUCUUGAAAGUUGAAUCUGUAAAUAUAUUCUUUAGGUUUGAUGAGAGAAGGGGAAAGGUUUUGGAAGGAUGGAUGCCUUGUAUGGGACCAAUGGGUUUUGAAAAAAUUUUGUGGGUUCCAAUGGUUUUGUUGUUUUUGAAUUUUUUAGUGACUGACGGUUGAGAGACUUGAGA